RNAcentral lists this ribosomal RNA (433 nucleotides) under uncultured bacterium. RNAcentral's name for it is "partial 16S ribosomal RNA". It matches the Rfam family "Bacterial small subunit ribosomal RNA", at positions 29 to 507 of the family's 1533-position model. The record is from RNAcentral.
AACGAACGCUGGCGGCAUGCCUAACACAUGCAAGUCGAACGAGACCUUCGGGUCUAGUGGCGCACGGGUUCGUAACGCGUGGGAACCUUCCCUUAGGUUCGGAAUAACUCCCCGAAAGGGGUGCUAAUACCGGAUAAUGUCUUCGGACCAAAGAUUUAUUGCCUUUGGAUGGGCCCGCGUUGGAUUAGCUAGUUGGUAGGGUAAAAGCCUACCAAGGCGACGAUGCAUAGAUGGUCACAGAGGAUGAUCAGCCACUCUGGGACUGAGACACGGCCCAGACUCCUACGGGAGGCAGCAGUGGGGAAUAUUGGAAAGUGGGCGAAAGGAUGAUGCAGCAAUGCCGCGUGAGUGAUGAAGGCAUUAGGGUUGUAAAGCUCUUUUAACCGGGAUGAUAAUGACAGUACCGGGAGAAUAAGCCCCGGCUAACUCCGUG